Rhincodon typus (whale shark) is the source of this 1454-nucleotide long non-coding RNA. RefSeq lists it as uncharacterized. The record is from RefSeq and is a predicted model, not a curated record. The transcript is spliced from 2 exons. Lineage: Eukaryota; Metazoa; Chordata; Chondrichthyes; Orectolobiformes; Rhincodontidae.
CCACAGCUGCUGCUAAGGGUGAUUUCCUGUUCACAAGUGAUCGAUUAAUUGAGAUCAUCACAAAGCUUUAUCGCACAAUAUUCUUCAAAACCAACCAGAAGAUAAAUGUUGAGAUAAAUAAUGAAUUUCUGGUUCAAUUCAAUCAGGAUAAAGUCUGUGUGAAGUUCAUUCAGGGAGCACAGAAAAAUGGCAAUCUCCCUACAUGCAAGAGGAAAAAUAAUCGCCUCCUGGAAGUCACAGUUCCUUAAUUGCUGCAAUUUUGUGACAAUUACUUACUGCACAUAUGGUUAUAUAUUCUUUCUGUUAAGUUUUCCUUUUCUCCUGAAGCUGUGACUGGUUGAUAGCAAUUGUGUAAAUUAAUGGUGCUUUCAAUUUGUUUUCUAAUACCAAAAUUGGUUUUUAAAAUGGUCGAGGGGGUAAAAGAAACACCAAUGAGUUCCUUUUGCAAAUGUCAGGGUGAUAGUUUCCUGUCAUUGAGUGUUCAAGAUGGUCAAUUAUGGCAUUGAUUUAAUCACUCAGCUAGUGGUUUAGCCUGGGCCAGUUGUACAGCACUAUAGUUGGGCACAUGGGAUGGCUGGAUGACCUCUCACUGCCAAUAAUCGCAAAGCAAAUAGCCACUUGCAUGAGGCAUCACAAACCUGUGAAAUGCCCCACACAUGAGUCGCACCUUCAGGAGAAAUGGGGUUGGGAUGAUUAUUGGAGCAAUCUCUGGGCGAGAAAGAAUUAUGGGAUCUGAAAUCGGAUUUGUGAACUUGGACCUGAGCUGGAUGCCUCAGUGUGUGAAACAUUGUAGUCUCGGCUUUCUGCAAGGCAGAAUCUAACACUAGAUGGAGGAGCAAACAGAUUUUAAAAACCAAAUUGAGCAAAGUGUGAUGCUGUGGGUGAUUGUAUUAAUAUGUUGUACCUUCGUAUUUUAGAAUCUGUCACUUGGUUAUGGGGAUCAACUUUUGAGGUUAAACAAUUGCUGAACUAUGUACAGGAAUACUGCUAAUUUAGAAAAGAAAUUAUGCAUUGUAUGUAUUGUACAACCAAAACAAAAAAUCAAUUCUAAAGCAAUUUGUAAAGGCUAUUUAUGUUGAAUUUCUGGGAGAGGUCCUUGGUACACAUAGCCUGUGUUGAAAGCUGUAAUGCAGCUGCCAGGCCAAUAUAACUCUUGCUACGUCACUUACAGUUAAUAGAAUCUACGCUACACAUUUCUAAAAACAGUAGCAGAAUGAAUUGCAGUUCAAUGGUUUUUCACUAAGAAAUGUUUGCGAUAAUGAGAUGUAAAUAGAUUGAAGUUGGUAUUGUGAUCAUAGAUUGAUGUUUCAUAGUGAUGUAAUGUUGUAAUCAUGUUUUUAUAUUUAAUACCUCUUUCAAGCUCCUUCUGCCUGGAGAAUUUGCAUAUUAGACAGCAGUCAAAAUCAGAGUUAACGUAACUGAUUUCUUAAUCUUUUAUAAAUCUGUUAAAUUUA